Molecule: transfer RNA, 64 nt
Filed under: Prosopocoilus astacoides
Lineage: Eukaryota; Metazoa; Arthropoda; Insecta; Coleoptera; Lucanidae
Also listed under: 1 other name
Description: tRNA-His
Rfam family: tRNA
About the family: Transfer RNA (tRNA) molecules are approximately 80 nucleotides in length.
Source: RNAcentral
AUCUAGAUAGUUUAAGAUUAAAAUAUUGAUUUGUGGAAUCAAUGAUGUAGGUGUAUUCUAGAUA